Pelobates cultripes (western spadefoot toad) is the source of this 550-nucleotide non-coding RNA. The record is from the annotation of a GenBank genome assembly. NCBI's taxonomy places the organism in Eukaryota, Metazoa, Chordata, Amphibia, Anura, Pelobatidae.
CUAACAUAUAUCAGUAAAACAAGAGUGAAAAAUUUUAUAGAUCACGUUAAUAAGACAAAAGGCGCUGAUCAGACUAAUCACAGACAAAGUGCUGUGGUUGGAAACGGCUAUUGAACAACGGCAUGAAUGGGAUAAAAGUUUUAAAAGGGUUAUAACUGAGAAAAGUGGUUAAAAAUAAGCCAAAUAUUGAAAAGUACACAGCAAAAAAAAGUUAGAUCCUCUCUGAAAGUGUGAAUUAUUUUUUGGAUGAAGUGCAUAUUUUUUCCUUUUAACACACUUUGUAUCAUGCUCUCUCUGCCUCCCUCGUAAUGCAGAGUUUGUGAACAAGUCCAAUGUUUGCCCACAUUGGCUGUCACGUGUUACUGUGAUCACCAGUGAAGGGUUGUUGACUCUGCUGAUGCCGAUUGGAUCCCAGGAAAUGCUUCAGUUGCUUGGCAGGUCCCUGCAUUGGCAAGUUAGGUACUAGUGCUGGAAGACCAUGUCACCCUAACAACUACAAAUCCCACUCUGUAUAGGACAGCAUAGAACGCCAUAACGUCCUGAAGGGAUU